Molecule: unclassified non-coding RNA, 251 nt
Filed under: uncultured fungus
Lineage: Eukaryota; Fungi
Description: partial contains small subunit ribosomal RNA, internal transcribed spacer 1, and 5.8S ribosomal RNA
Rfam family: Eukaryotic small subunit ribosomal RNA (bases 1-73)
Source: RNAcentral
GCAAACUUGGUCAUUUAGAGGAAGUAAAAGUUGUAACAAGGUUUCCGUAGGUGAACCUGCGGAAGGAUCAUUAACAAAUCCAAUAAUUGUGGGAGGGGGAAACCUCUCUUGCAAAUAUUAAACCGCCAAUUCUUUUGGGGAUUGGUUGGCUAAAAUAAAUGCAUGUUAUGUUGACAGUGUGUGAAUUAUUAAAUUUAUUGACAACUUUUAACAAUGGAUCUCUAGGCUCUUGCAUCGAUGAAGAACGCAGC